This is a non-coding RNA of Manis javanica (Malayan pangolin), 747 nucleotides long. Lineage: Eukaryota; Metazoa; Chordata; Mammalia; Pholidota; Manidae. The record is from RefSeq and is a predicted model, not a curated record.
AGCAGUAGGACAGCUAAUGGGGAAGUGUGAGCGGGAGUGGCUGCGGGCGAUGGGGGCAGCAGGGAGCAAACAGAAAGGCCCAAAAAGCCAGAGAUCCGUGGGUUGCGUAAGGCUGUGGGAUCUGAAAGAUAAAAAUAACGAAGAGCCAAUGGGGAGCCACGCGCCGGUUGCAUAGGGGAGGGAUGACGAUAAUGGCUGCAGAGAGCCAAUGAAGAGUAUUCCUGGCCAUCAGGCCCCCUGUGGGCUUUUCCAGAAAGGCCUGAAGCCGGUCUUGCAGAGAGGUCGGAGUGGGCAUUGGAUGACAGAACUCUGGGUCAUGCAGAGUGCUGGGGAGCCAGGAGUCUCAACCCUGGCCUGUCAGGAGAAGCUCCUGGACUCUGCUCUACCCUGUUGACCAUUGGUUGGAGGGUGUCCCUGCCGAGGUGAAGAAAUGCAGCUGCUAGCUCUUGAACAACCUUAAAACCUCACAAGCUUCAGGGCCCCAGAAGAAUCUCCUAAUCUCACAACGUACCCGUUGUUGCAUCCUAGAAUUUAAAACCUGAAACUGUUGGGCUCAAGGAAACCUGGGGGUUUCAAAGCCCUGCACCAAGGAAGGCAGGGUCCCCGCUCGCCAGCUUUGUGAUUUGCAGCAAGUUGCUUGGCUACUUCAUGCCUCACCGCUGUCCCCAUCUGUAUAACACCCAUUUUGACAAGAUGGACCUCAAAGGGCUGUGUGGUAAGGAGUGAUUAUUACCGUUUGUGAGAAGA